GGGCGCUUAGCUCAGUUGGUAGAGCAGCUGACUCUUAAUCAGUAGGUCCACGGUUCGAGCCCGUGAGCGCCCACCA
This 76-nucleotide transfer RNA is filed under the name Pseudoroseomonas ludipueritiae. Its description in RNAcentral is "tRNA-Lys". It matches the Rfam family "tRNA". From Rfam's summary of the family: Transfer RNA (tRNA) molecules are approximately 80 nucleotides in length. Their secondary structure includes four short double-helical elements and three loops (D, anti-codon, and T loops). Lineage: Bacteria; Pseudomonadati; Pseudomonadota; Alphaproteobacteria; Acetobacterales; Acetobacteraceae. RNAcentral also lists the same sequence under 6 other names. The record is from RNAcentral.